RNAcentral lists this transfer RNA (85 nucleotides) under Malassezia pachydermatis. It matches the Rfam family "tRNA". From Rfam's summary of the family: Transfer RNA (tRNA) molecules are approximately 80 nucleotides in length. Their secondary structure includes four short double-helical elements and three loops (D, anti-codon, and T loops). Lineage: Eukaryota; Fungi; Basidiomycota; Malasseziomycetes; Malasseziales; Malasseziaceae. The record is from Rfam by way of RNAcentral.
GUUCCGGUAGCUCAGGGGUAGUAGCGACAGAUUGCAACUACUGCAAUAUAUCUGUAGGUCGCGGGUUCAAAUCUCGCCCGGAACU